CUGGCUCAGGAUGAACGCUAGCGGCAGGCUUAAUACAUGCAAGUCGUGGGGCAGCAUGAGUGUAGCAAUACAUUUGAUGGCGACCGGCAAACGGGUGCGGAACACGUACUGAACCUUCCUUUAAGUGGGGAAUAGCCCAGAGAAAUUUGGAUUAAUACCCCGUAAUAUAUAGAAGUGGCAUCACUUUUAUAUUAAAGCUCCGGCGCUUAAAGAUGGCAGUGCGGCUGAUUAGGUAGUUGGCGGGGUAACGGCCCACCAAGCCGACGAUCAGUAACUGGUGUGAGAGCACGACCAGUCACACGGGCACUGAGACACGGGCCCGACUCCUACGGGAGGCAGCAGUAAGGAAUAUUGGUCAAUGGACGCAAGUCUGAACCAGCCAUGCCGCGUGGAGGAUGAAGGUCCUCUGGAUUGUAAACUUCUUUUAUCUGGGAAGAAACCCAUCUUUUCUUGGAUGGUUGACGGUACCAGAUGAAUAAGCACCGGCUAACUCCGUGCCAGCAGCCGCGGUAAUACGGAGGGUGCAAGCGUUAUCCGGAUUCACUGGGUUUAAAGGGUGCGUAGGUGGGCAGGUAAGUCAGCGGUGAAAUCUCCGGGCUUAACCCGGAAACUGCCAUUGAUACUAUCUGUCUUGAAUACCCUGGAGGUGAGCGGAAUAUGUCAUGUAGCGGUGAAAUGCUUAGAUAUGACAUAGAACACCCAUUGCGAAGGCAGCUCACUACGGGAAUAUUGACACUGAGGCACGAAAGCGUGGGGAUCAAACAGGAUUAGAUACCCUGGUAGUCCACGCCCUAAACGAUGGAUACUCGACAUCAGCGAUAAACUGUUGGUGUCUGAGCGAAAGCAUUAAGUAUCCCACCUGGGAAGU
Molecule: ribosomal RNA, 868 nt
Filed under: uncultured bacterium
Lineage: Bacteria
Description: bacterial SSU rRNA
Rfam family: Bacterial small subunit ribosomal RNA
Source: RNAcentral